Molecule: transfer RNA, 90 nt
Filed under: Bifidobacterium lemurum
Lineage: Bacteria; Bacillati; Actinomycetota; Actinomycetes; Bifidobacteriales; Bifidobacteriaceae
Also listed under: 1 other name
Description: tRNA-Leu
Rfam family: tRNA
About the family: Transfer RNA (tRNA) molecules are approximately 80 nucleotides in length.
Source: RNAcentral
GCCCGGGUGGCGGAAUGGUAGACGCGCUAGCUUGAGGUGCUAGUGCCUAUUUUAACGGGCGUACGGGUUCAAGUCCCGUCUCGGGCACCA